CUGCCCCUACGGGACGCAGCAGUGAGGAAUAUUGGUCAAUGGGCGGGAGCCUGAACCAGCCAAGUCGCGUGAGGGAAGGCGGUCCUACGGAUUGUAAACCUCUUUUGCCGGGGAGCAACGGGGUCCUUGCGAGGGCCCGAUGAGAGUACCCGGAGAAAAAGCAUCGGCUAACUCCGUGCCAGCAGCCGCGGUAAUACGGAGGAUGCGAGCGUUAUCCGGAUUUAUUGGGUUUAAAGGGUGCGUAGGCGGGCUGUAAAGUCAGCGGUCAAAUGUCGGGGCUCAACCCCGGCCUG
This 293-nucleotide ribosomal RNA is filed under the name uncultured bacterium. RNAcentral's name for it is "partial 16S ribosomal RNA". It matches the Rfam family "Bacterial small subunit ribosomal RNA", at positions 333 to 622 of the family's 1533-position model. The record is from RNAcentral.